RNAcentral lists this ribosomal RNA (253 nucleotides) under uncultured bacterium. RNAcentral's name for it is "partial 16S ribosomal RNA". It matches the Rfam family "Bacterial small subunit ribosomal RNA", at positions 524 to 776 of the family's 1533-position model. The record is from RNAcentral.
UACGGAGGUUGCGAGCGUUGUCCGGAAUCACUGGGCGUAAAGGGCGCGUAGGCGGCCUGAUAAGUCGGGGGUGAAAUCCUGCGGCUUAACCGCAGGGCUGCCUUCUAAACUGUCAGGCUGGAGCACAGUAGAGGCAGGUGGAAUUCCCGGUGUAGCGGUGGAAUGCGUAGAGAUCCGGAAGAACACCGGUGGCGAAGGCGGUCUGCUGGGCAGUAGCUGACACUGAGGCGCGACAGCGUGGGGAGCAAACAGG